RNAcentral lists this ribosomal RNA (121 nucleotides) under Microcebus murinus (gray mouse lemur). The record is from RNAcentral. Lineage: Eukaryota; Metazoa; Chordata; Mammalia; Primates; Cheirogaleidae.
GUCUACAUCCAUACCACCCUGAAUGUGCCUGAUAUCAGAAGCUAAGCAGGGCUGGGCCUGGUUACUACUUAGUACUUGGAUGGGAGAAAGUCUAUAAUUUUUGCCACUUGAGGUGGAGACU